Molecule: long non-coding RNA, 6283 nt
Filed under: Carica papaya (papaya)
Lineage: Eukaryota; Viridiplantae; Streptophyta; Magnoliopsida; Brassicales; Caricaceae
Description: long non-coding RNA (CPAP_LNC010496)
Source: RNAcentral
UCCGCCUAGUCGAUGGAAAGCCCCCGCCGCGGCCCAAGUUUGGACCUAAGUGGCGGUUCACGCAGCAUCACCACCGCCCGCAGCUCCCUCAGCGUCGCGACGAGGAGGUCGAGGCCCGUAAGCGUGAGGCCGAGAAGGAACGCGCACGCCGAGACCGGCUUUACAACCUUAAUCGCUCGAAUGUCAACCAGCCGCGGAGGGAGGCUGCCGCCUUUAAGUCCUCUGUCGAUAUUCAGCCUGAAUGGAACAUGCUCGACCAGAUCCCUUUCUCCACUUUCUCCAAGCUUUCAUUCGCUGUCCCCGAACCCGAGGACCUUCUCUUGUGCGGCGCUCUCGAGUACUAUGACCGAGCUUAUGAUCGCAUUACACCUAAAAAUGAGAGGAGAUUGGAGAGGUUCAAGAACAGGAAUUUCUUUAAAGUCACUACCAGUGAUGAUCCGGUGAUUAGGAGGUUGGCUAAGGAGGACAAAGCCACAGUUUUCGCCACCGAUACUAUCCUGGCAGCCUUGAUGUGCGCACCAAGAUCAGUUUACUCGUGGGAUAUCGUGAUUCAGCGAGUUGGAAACAAGUUGUUCUUCGAUAAGAGAGAUGGCUCGCAGCUCGAUUUAUUGUCCGUGCACGAGACGUCGCAGGAACCUUUACCUGAGGCUAAAGAUGAUAUUAACUCUGCAUAUUCCUUGAGCGUGGAGGCUGCUUAUGUUAAUCAGAAUUUCUCGCAGCAGGUUUUGGUCAGAGAUGGGAACAAGGUGUCAUUUGAUGAGCCAAAUCCGUUUGCCAAUGAAGGUGAGGAGGUGGCUUCUGUUGCCUACAGGUAUAGGAGAUGGAAGCUUGAUGAUGAUAUGCAUCUUAUUGCAAGAUGUGAGGUGCAGAGUGUUGUUGAUGUUAAUAAGCAAAGGUCAUUCCUUACCUUGAAUGCCCUUAAUGAAUUUGAUCCAAAAUAUUCUGGUGUUGAUUGGAGGCAGAAAUUGGAGACGCAGAGAGGUGCAGUAUUGGCUACUGAAUUGAAGAACAAUGCUAAUAAGUUGGCUAAAUGGACUGCGCAGGCAUUGUUGGCUAGUGCGGACUUGAUGAAAAUAGGGUAUGUUUCUAGGGUUCAUCCACGUGAUCAUUUCAACCAUGUGAUAUUGGCGGUUGUUGGGUACAAGCCAAGGGAAUUUUCUACUCAGAUUAAUCUGAAUACUGCGAAUAUGUGGGGUAUUGUUAAGUCUAUUGUGGACUUGUGUAUGAAACUGAACGAGGGUAAGUAUGUCCUUGUCAAGGAUCCCUCGAAGCCUCAAGUUAGGAUUUAUGAGGUUCCAGCAGAUGCUUUUGAGAAUGAGUACGUGGAGGAGCCAUUGCCUGAGGAAGAACAGGUUCAGCCACCUGGUGAAGAUGCCGAAGGCGGGGAGCCAAGUGCAGCUACUAAUGAUGUAGAAGAUAACAGCGCUAAUGCACAGGCGUAAUGGUAAUGAUUCGUGACUAUAAUUAACUUGAUACCAAAACCGUUACUUCUAUAUUAAUCAUGCAUGAUAUGUCUGUUGGUUUGUGUUCCUUAGUUACCAAAGGUCUUGGAUGAAUGUUUUCUGGUGUUUACUUGAGUUAGACAUGGUUCAAAGUUAGUCACCAGGAGAAUUUUGUUUAUGCUUGUAGUGAAAUAUUAAUUAUUUUCUCGUGUUUUUCUGAAGUUGGAUAAUUUAGCAUUCUGCUUUAAAUUUUAAUUGGAUGCUUGCCAGUAAUUUUUACUAUAGUAAAUCAAACCAAGGAAUGAUAAUCCUACCAUGUAUGUGAAGAUUAUUGGGGUAUGUUUGAAAUAGAUAAAACUUGUGGCAUUGAGAACAAAUUUAAACUAUGAGAGCAUGGAAUCUCUUAUGACAUUCUAACAAAUUAUCGCUGCAAACAAUUUCAAGUGGAUUGCCAUUUGAAUUUCACAUAUGAUUAGAAUUUGUAAUUUGGAAGGUACUAGGUCAUUGCCAUUUGAAUUCUCUUGGAGGUCCAUUUUAUCAUUUUGAAAGGUAUUUUCAUACUUUCAUAACAUAAUUUUACAUGAAUUCCAUAAAUAAGUCUUAUUCGUUCUAAACAUAGGCUUAGUGAAUUUUAUGCCCGCUGAUAUUUCUUGUGAAAUUUAUAUCGCGAUAUUUUUUAUGUUUGUCUAUCUUUUUUUAAGCUGGUAAAUGAGGUUUUUUGUUGGAAAAUAUGUCAUUGAGUUUGAUUCAAAUUCCAAUUAUAGAAUGGUAAUAGCAAUACAAUGAAAAUGGGAUGGAAAAUUGAAUUAAAAACAACAUUCUCAUUCCAAGUGAAUUUUAGGUCCAAUUCAAGUUGGUUGAUUUUUUAAUUUCUUCCUCGAUAUGCGUGGAUACAAAGUCAUUGUUAUAUAAUUGAGGAAAUGGGUGAGCUUGAUCCAAUUAUGUAUUAUGUAAACUUUGCCUAAUUUCUAUGUAUCAAAUAAAUAAGAUUUAGGAAUAAAAUAGGAUUAGAAUAGGUCUGAACAAAAUACAAUGAAAGUUUUUUUUUUGUGUACUUGGUUAGAUAGCACUUCUAGUUCUCAGUUCGUUAGAAGAUAGAUGAAAAUGAAUUUUAUUCAUAUGAAGUUUAUUUCAAAAAAAUAAGUUUUUGUAUCAUGAGCGAUAUGACAUGAGUUACAUGACUACCUUUCAAAUUGAUGCACCCAUCUUACUGAAGAUUGUUUUAGGUUAUAUAGGUCCGUAACAAUUGAUCAAUUUUUAUAAAAGUAAUUUCCAAAUACCACUGUGGACAUAGGUCCAUAACAAUUGAUCAAUUUUUAUAAAAGUAACUUCCAAAUACUACUGUAGACAUUUGUUUUUUUCCUUCUUAAUAAUAAGAAAAGACUAUGAGGGUGAUUGAAAUUUCUUGUUUUAAGCUUAUAGGUAACUUUAAACACUUAGUUAAAUUUUUUUUUUCUGUAAAGGGUGCUUAAAAACUUUACAUCUCAUUUCAAAUUUUUAAAGUUUAAUUUUUUAAUCUAACAAAUCUUUCUAAUUAUCAUUUUUAUCUACUUAAAAUUAACAAAAUACAUAUUAAAAUAAAUUACAAAAUAUUUAUAGAAAAUAUAUGUUUAUUAUUAGUUCUUUCUAAAAAGAUAAAUGUUUAUUUUUUUCUAAUCACCAUUUUGUUAAAAUCAUGGUGGCUUAUUUUUUAAAUGAGUGUCAACUUUAAGUAAUUUUAAGUAAUUUAAAGUACGAGGGGUGCUCUAAGUGCAUUUCUUGAAGCAAUCCUAACUUGUGCCGAGCAGGAUUCCUACUUGGUUUGCAUGGACAAAGUUCGGACUUUUGCCUUUAUGUCAGAUUGUUUUGAAGCUUUCAAAAAAUUGAUACAUAUGGAUCAGGCAAGAUUCUUUUAGUUGGUGGGUUUUUAGUUUUAGUUUUUUCACCUGUAUCGGAAUGGUCAUAAUGGCUCUACUCCUAGCUAUCGGGUUGGUAUCUUACUUGGACAUACUGCCAUGGGGGAUCAUGAAUACAUGCUUAGCCUGCUCACACAGAAUUGCAUCCAGUUAUCUAUUUUCAGUCAUAUUCCACACAAUACAAACCGAAAAGAUAGAGAAGUAUUAGUAACUCAGGUCUAGGAAGCAUAAUCGCUUUCUUUAAAUCCAUGGAAGUUGCAUGAUCUCAAGCAUCUUUUAUAAACUAGUAGAAAACUUAGCAGUUCGAAAGGGAGUUAGCUAUCUGUCACUGAAAUUACUAUGGGGUUUAUCUUGGGUCAAUAUGAGGGCAGACAUAAGAAAAUGACAGUGUACAAGACUGGGGCGAGUUAUUUACCAUUUCUAGAGGGAGGUUUGUUGUUGCGCUUCUAUUGUGUCAUUGAAAUGUGUAAAUUCAUCCACAUCUGCUCUCUAAUUUCCAUCAUUCAGAAUGUUGCUAUCACCCUCAGUGACACAAAUAAAAGCUAUGUAUGCAAACUAUUCGUUUUUCAGUAUAAUGGGGAUCAUCUUGUGAAUACUUACAAUAAGGUGGUUGAUUGUAUGCUGGCCUGAAUAUGUUCAACGUCUGUGCUUCUAGUGAUUAGAGUAGUCAUCAAGGGAAUGUAUGUUUAUCUUUGAGUCUCUCUUCAUCUAAUUUAUUGUAUUUUGGGGCUUAGAAGUGGAAGAACACCUUUUACAUAUAUUGUGGUGGCCCUAAUCUUUCUCAAAUACCAUAUUAUAUGCAGAAAAUGUACACCAUCAUUCUUUUUAUUUCAUUCUACAUGCCUCCAGUGACAUUUGUUGGUGAUUGCAGAUAGUAUGUGGUCAUUUGCUGAGAAGAAUCUUCUUGGGACCUAAGAGUUUUUUAGCAGCCCUGUGAGGUUUUAAGUAUUCUUUUUUUUUUUUUUUGGUUUCUUUUUCAUAUAAUUUAUCUUUCAGACUAAUGUAUAAUUUGAGUAGAAAGAUUUUGUAAGGAGUUCCUCUUGAUAGUAAGGAGACAUUAUUAGUCACUCUGUUGUGGAUGGUUUGUGGGUCUGGAAACUGGAAUGAGAAACCAUUCUUCUCCCUCUUUCUUCACGGUUUAAAAACAACCUGAUUGUGGUUUCUGGGUUUGUUUUGUUCUCAUUCUUUUUGAUAUAUUUAUAAUUGUUAUGUGCCUGGUUAUUUUAGUAACUUUAAAAGAUUUAACAAAAGGGGUUUUGACUAUUGUGUGUUCUCGAAAUAGGGUAUAUUUUAAAGUUCGUAUGUCAUACGUUAAAACUAAAUAUAUAUAUAUAUAUCAACCUUUUCAAUAAUUUGUUUAAUAAAUUAAAAAAUAAAAUAAAAGGAUCCAACGGUCGAAUACAUUGGAAACUUCUCCAUGGUCCUUGUAAGUAGUGCAAAAUUCGAAAAGCAUAAAUUUUUACUUCCCCCAUAGCAUGUGACCCUCUCUGUCACUUGUCCAUAUCAAAUCAAUGCCAUGUAUAUUUUUAAAAAGAAAAAUUGUUAGUAAAUAUAUAUAUAUAGAUAUAUAUAUUGAAAAUUAAAAUGGGUCGGAUAGUUUUUCCUGUUAUUAAAAAAAUAUAACUAUUAUGUUAAUACAUUUAAAUUAAAGUUAACUUAUUAAUAAUUGGUUCUUGUAUAUGGACAAAAAGAAAAUGUCCCUCCAUUUCUUUUUAACUUUGAAACCCUGUUUGGAUGCAUGAAUAAAUGAAUAAUCCAAGAAGCUACCCCACCACCAUUUACAUAUAAACAUUUUCAUGAAUAAAAACCGCAGAGAAUCACGGCCUUACACCCCCCUAUAUAUCCCCUUUCUUUUCUUUCCUCACUUCACUACUCUCCCUCUUCUACCUUACUUACACCAGCAACACCAUGGCUCAUUAUAAACUCUUUCUCCUCACACUGCUCUUCACGGCCACCUGCUUCAAUGCAGAGCUCAGCCACGACGCCGAAGCUUUCUCACCUCAUUACUCUCCGGCAACCUCUCCGGCGCCCCACCAUCACCACCACCCACCAGCUCUUGCACCUGUUCAACCCCCGACUCAUCACCACCACCACCAUCCUCACCCACCCACUAAACCACCGACCCACUCGCCAGCUAACCCCCCUGUUCAUCCCCCAGUAAAGCCUCCGGCACCCUCACCGGUGAAACCUCCGGUUCAUCCACCAGUAAAGCCUCCUGUGAAGCCUCCGGUGAAGCCGCCGAGCUAUCCUUUCCCAAGGCGGUUUGUAGCAGUGCAGGGUGUUGUUUACUGCAAGUCUUGCAAGUACGCCGGAGUUGAUACCCUCUUGGGAGCUUCACCGGUUUUGGGUUUGUCCUCCUAACCAUGUCUCUCUACUCUUACAUUUUUCUUUCUUUGCUUUUUAGUUUAAGCAAGGCGUUGGAAAUGGCUUCUUGAAUCAUGCAUGCAUGUCCAUGAAUUGUUGCAUUGUAUAUAUAUAUAUGUAUAUGAAUAUAUAAUCUGCAUGAUAUGUUUAGUCAAUGGCGUAAUGUAUACGUGGUUUUAUUAGCAAGAUAAUACAUUCUUACUCGUUAUAAAUUGUGUUUACAUAUAUGGUUUUAUUAGCUUUAAAACCUUUAUUCCAUUUCUAGGCAAAAGAACUGACAAUGUUUACCAGUAUGGCAGCACUGAAUUACUGUACCACCAACCGUAACAUUAAAGCUGCCGCUCACUGUUAUCUCCACUCCGUGACAAAAUUCCUUUUUCUUUUUUUUUUACUCUUCUUCUUUUUAACCAUUUUCACAAGUUACAUGCACUCUAUUUUACUUUAUUACUUUUUACUUUCAAUUAAUUAAUUCAUUUAAUGUAUUUUAAUUUCUUAGAUGGCCCAGUAAUACUUUUUUAUGUAAUUAAUAUACAUAUAUAUUGUGAAAACCUUCUAGAAUUUACCGCACAGUAAAAAGCUGAA